GAAGCCUGAUGCAGCGACGCCGCGUGGGGGAUGACGGCCUUCGGGUUGUAAACCCCUUUCAGUAGGGAAGAAGCGAGAGUGACGGUACCUGCAGAAGAAGCGCCGGCUAACUACGUGCCAGCAGCCGCGGUAAUACGUAGGGCGCAAGCGUUGUCCGGAAUUAUUGGGCGUAAAGAGCUUGUAGGUGGCUUGUCGCGUCUGCCGUGAAAACCCGAGGCUCAACCUCGGGCGUGCGGUGGGUACGGGCAGGCUAGAGUGUGGUAGGGGAGACUGGAACUCCUGGUGUAGCGGUGAAAUGCGCAGAUAUCAGGAAGAACACCGAUGGCGAAGGCAGGUCUCUGGGCCAUUACUGACACUGAGAAGCGAAAGCAUGGGUAGCGAACAGGAUUAGAUACCCUGGUAGUCCAUGCCGUAAACGUUGGGCACUAGGUGUGGGGGA
This 439-nucleotide ribosomal RNA is filed under the name Brachybacterium sp. CR48. Its description in RNAcentral is "bacterial SSU rRNA". It matches the Rfam family "Bacterial small subunit ribosomal RNA", at positions 378 to 829 of the family's 1533-position model. Lineage: Bacteria; Bacillati; Actinomycetota; Actinomycetes; Micrococcales; Dermabacteraceae. The record is from RNAcentral.